Molecule: transfer RNA, 62 nt
Filed under: Cicadetta abscondita
Lineage: Eukaryota; Metazoa; Arthropoda; Insecta; Hemiptera; Cicadidae
Description: tRNA-Ala
Source: RNAcentral
GGGGAUGUAUUUAAUUAUAAUAAUUGAAUUGCAAUCAAUAGGUGUUUACUUAACCAUCCUUA